This 468-nucleotide ribosomal RNA is filed under the name uncultured bacterium. RNAcentral describes it as "partial 16S ribosomal RNA". It matches the Rfam family "Bacterial small subunit ribosomal RNA", at positions 28 to 507 of the family's 1533-position model. The record is from RNAcentral.
GACGAACGCUGGCGGCGUGCUUAACACAUGCAAGUCGAACGGAAAGGCCCUGCUUUUGUGGGGUGCUCGAGUGGCGAACGGGUGAGUAACACGUGAGUAACCUGCCCUUGACUGUGGGAUAACUUCAGGAAACUGGGGCUAAUACCGGAUAGGAGCUCCUGCUGCAUGGUGGGGGUUGGAAAGUUUCGGCGGUUGGGGAUGGACUCGCGGCUUAUCAGCUUGUUGGUGGGGUAGUGGCUUACCAAGGCUUUGACGGGUAGCCGGCCUGAGAGGGUGACCGGCCACAUUGGUACUGAGAUACGGCCCAGACUCCUACGGGAGGCAGCAGUGGGAAAUAUUGCACAAUGGGCGGAAGCCUGAUGCAGCAACGCCGCGUGCGGGAUGACGGCCUUCGGGUUGUAAACCGCUUUCGCCUGUGACGAAGCGUGAGUGACGGUAAUGGGUAAAGAAGCACCGGCUAACUACGUG